RNAcentral lists this ribosomal RNA (497 nucleotides) under uncultured bacterium. Its description in RNAcentral is "partial 16S ribosomal RNA". It matches the Rfam family "Bacterial small subunit ribosomal RNA", at positions 28 to 507 of the family's 1533-position model. The record is from RNAcentral.
GAUGAACGCUGGCGGCGUGCCUAAUACAUGCAAGUCGAGCGAACGGACGAGAAGCUUGCUUCUCUGAUGUUAGCGGCGGACGGGUGAGUAACACGUGGAUAACCUACCUAUAAGACUGGGGUAACUUCGGGAAACCGGAGCUAAUACCGGAUGAUAUUUUGAACCGCAUGGUUCAAAAGUGAAAGACGGUCUUGCUGUCACUUAUAGAUGGAUCCGCGCUGCAUUAGCUAGUUGGUAAGGUAACGGCUUUCCAAGGCAACGAUGCAUAGCCGACCUGUGAGAGGGAUCGGCCACACUGGAACUUAGACACGGUCCAGGCGCCUACGGGAGGCAGCAGUAGGGAAUCUUCCGCAGUGGGCGAAAGCCUGACGGAGCGACGCCGCGUGAGUGAUGAAGGUCUUCGGAGCGUGAAACUCUGUUAUUAGGGAAGAACAUAUGUGUAAGUAACUGUGCACAGCUUGACGGUACCUAAUCAGAAAGCCACGGCUAACUACGUG